CAGAGGGUGCAAGCGUUGUUCGGAAUUAUUGGGCGUAAAGCGCGUGUAGGCGGCUUAGCAAGUCGGGCGUGAAAGCCCUCGGCUCAACCGAGGAAGUUGCACCCGAAACUGCUGAGCUUGAGUGCCGGAGAGGAUGGCGGAAUUCCCCAAGUAGAGGUGAAAUUCGUAGAUAUGGGGAGGAACACCGGUGGCGAAGGCGGCCAUCUGGACGGUAACUGACGCUGAGACGCGAAAGCGUGGGGAAGCAAACAGGAUUAGAUACCCUGGUAGUCCACGCCGUAAACGAUGAGAACUAGAUGUCGCGGGUGUUGACCCCUGCGGUGUCGCAGCUAACGCAUUAAGUUCUCCGCCUGGGAAGUACGGUCGCAAGAUUA
This 374-nucleotide ribosomal RNA is filed under the name uncultured organism. RNAcentral's name for it is "bacterial SSU rRNA". It matches the Rfam family "Bacterial small subunit ribosomal RNA", at positions 526 to 896 of the family's 1533-position model. The record is from RNAcentral.